RNAcentral lists this ribosomal RNA (445 nucleotides) under uncultured bacterium. RNAcentral's name for it is "partial 16S ribosomal RNA". It matches the Rfam family "Bacterial small subunit ribosomal RNA", at positions 354 to 796 of the family's 1533-position model. The record is from RNAcentral.
GUAGGGAAUAUUGGGCAAUGGAUGCAAGUCUGACCCAGCCAUCCCGCGUGCCGGAAGAAGGCCCUCAGGGUUGUAAACGGCUUUUGACGGUGAAGAAUCGACAGGAUGCGUCCUGUUUUGACGGUAGCCGUUGAAUAAGCACCGGCUAACUCCGUGCCAGCAGCCGCGGUAAUAUGGAGGGUGCGAGCGUUGUCCGGAUUUAUUGGGUUUAAAGGGUGCGUAGGCUGGAAGGUCAGUCAGCGGUGAAAAGCUGUCGCUUAACGAUAGUCUUGCCGCAGAUACUUCCUUUCUUGGAUGAGGAGGAGGCCACUGGAACGGAUGGUGUAGCGGUGAAAUGCAUAGAUAUCAUCCAGAACACCGAUUGCGAAGGCAGGUGGCUGUACCUUAAUCGACGCUGAUGCACGAAAGCAUGGGGAGCAAACAGGAUUAGAUACCCUAGUAGUCC